GAUGAACGCUGGCGGCGUGCCUAAUACAUGCAAGUCGAGCGAACAGACGAGGAGCUUGCUCCUCUGACGUUAGCGGCGGCCGGGUGAGUAACACGUGGAUAACCUACCUAUAAGACUGGGAUAACUUCGGGAAACCGGAGCUAAUACCGGAUAAUAUAUUGAACCGCAUGGUUCAAUAGUGAAAGACGGUUUUGCUGUCACUUAUAGAUGGAUCCGCGCCGCAUUAGCUAGUUGGUAAGGUAACGGCUUACCAAGGCGACGAUGCGUAGCCGACCUGAGAGGGUGAUCGGCCACACUGGAACUGAGACACGGUCCAGACUCCUACGGGAGGCAGCAGUAGGGAAUCUUCCGCAAUGGGCGAAAGCCUGACGGAGCAACGCCGCGUGAGUGAUGAAGGUCUUCGGAUCGUAAAACUCUGUUAUUAGGGAAGAACAAAUGUGUAAGUAACUAUGCACGUCUUGACGGUACCUAAUCAGAAAGCCACGGCUAACUACGUG
This 497-nucleotide ribosomal RNA is filed under the name uncultured bacterium. Its description in RNAcentral is "partial 16S ribosomal RNA". It matches the Rfam family "Bacterial small subunit ribosomal RNA", at positions 28 to 507 of the family's 1533-position model. The record is from RNAcentral.